Long non-coding RNA from Myotis myotis, 2876 nucleotides. RefSeq lists it as uncharacterized. Lineage: Eukaryota; Metazoa; Chordata; Mammalia; Chiroptera; Vespertilionidae. The record is from RefSeq and is a predicted model, not a curated record. The transcript is spliced from 3 exons.
CCGGCCCCGCCCCUUCCGCGUGCGCGCGCCGCCGGCCGCCCCGCCCCCGGCCUGCUGAGCUCGGAGCAGGACCUGGCCCGAGGCGAGGGCGCGCCCGGACGGUGACUCCAGGUCUGUUGCGUGCCCAGGCUUGUCUCCUCCAGCUGUUUGUCUGAGAGUCUAACCCUGCAAUUACUGGAGUCGGCCGAAUCUCCCUCCCGCCCUGAUCUGUAAAGUGAAGGCCUGGAGAAAAGCGUUCCUCUUAAAGGCAAAGGAGAGAGGAGCCGUGACUAUGUAUGCAGAACCAGGUUUUAUUGCUGAUAUCUGGGGACAGAAUGUUUCAGGCCUGGCUAGCCAUCAACAUCUGCUGGACUACUGUGAUCAAGACCGGUGAAAAGGAGAACUGGAACUGCUGCUACCUGUAACAUGCUUAAGAAUAUGUCAUAACCUGGUUGAACUUUUUUUUUAGAGAAGCAGUCAAUAGUGACCCAGUGAUACUCUUCACCGGCCAAACCACAUCUGGAGUUCUUUGUUCAGUUCUAGAUUGAGCACUUCAAGAAGACAUCAAUGAAGUUGGAAUUAUUUCCAAGGGGAGCAAAAUGAUGGAGAGAACUCAAAAGUACCACCAAUGAAGAAGUAGUGAUUAAACUUGGAAGGAUUUUUAUAGAAAGGAAAAAGCUACUGGGACUACCUCCAAAUAAGUAAAGACUCAUCAGAGGACAGAUUUGUUUCAUGUGGUCUUAAGAAGUGCACACUUAAGAGAAACAGAUUUCAGAUUUGAAAAGAAGAUUUCCUUCUAACACUAGCCAGAAAAGUUGUGGCUUAGGGUGGGUGGAAGCCCUGACCAUUGGAUUUUACUUUAAGUAGAUUCCUAUGGUUUUUAAAGGGGAAUGGGUACAGAGAAGCCAUGCAUCAAGAGAAUUAGUUGAUGGUUUUUUUAAAGCCAUUUCCAACCUUGAGAUUCAAUUAGUCUAUAAUUUCAGCCUUAAAAAGAAUUUACAGGUUAGCUAUGAGACAAGACAAAAUGCAUCAAAAGGUAAAUAAUGAAAGGAGGCCAUAUGAUAAUGAGCAGUACUAACAAUAAAUGCUAGUACAUUUAUUGUUCUCAUUACAAUUCCAGAGGCUUAAGGGAGAAGGAGGAAAUGAAAAUAGACUGUGUCUAGAACUGCCCUGUCCAGUAGGGUAGCCACUAGCCAAAUAUGGCUAUUUACACUUGAAAUGUAGCUAAUCUGAAUGGAGACAUGCAGUAAAUCUGAAAUACACACCAGAUAUUGAAGACUUAGUUCAAAAAAAUGUAAAAUAUCUUUUUUUUCUUGUCCCUCCUCCACCACCCCCCCCCCGUCUCCCCGUUCAAAAUGUAAAAUAUCUUAAUACUUAUGCUGACUACAUGUUAAAAUAAUGGCAUAUAUUGGGUCAAUAUAUUAAAAUUAAUUUCACCUGUUUAUUUUUUUAAUGUGCUUACUAGAAAAUUUUAACCCUACCAGACCACUGUACCGAUUUUUCGGUAAUUUCAGUGGAUUGGCACACAAAGGUAGAAUAUUGGCACUAGAUGAAAGGUAGACCUAUUUUCUACAAUGUCUCCAAGUUCCAUCUUAUUCUAACCACUUGUUUGCAUGUAACUAACAUUUUUCUAUAUCAUGUUGGUUUUUUCUCUUUAAUGCUCAGGAGCCCAGGUAUAGGGGACAGUUAGGUUCAGGGCCUCAGGCCUGGUAGACUUAAUAUAUGGCUUGAAUCUUAUUUCUAUUAGAUAGUUCUGGCCAAAAAAAAUAUACUUCAUUGAAUUUAUCAAAACUAUCUAUAAAGGAGAGUGAACUGGAAGACAUUCUAUCUACUAAAAACAGAGGAAAACCAUAUUAAUGACCAAUUCUUUUUAUACAUAUACUAGAGGCCUGGUGCACAAAAUUCAUGCACAGGGGGUAGAGGGUCCCUCAGCCCAGCCUGCAACAAUGCCAGCGUCCCUCAUCCCGGCCUCUGGCCCAAGGCCCCUCUCCUCCUUCCAUGUGGCUGGGGCUGGGAUACUGGGCUUGCAUCACCAUGAGCCCAGCGUGAGCCCAGCAUCCCUCGCCCUGGCCUCUGGCCUGAGGCUCCUCCCCUCCCACGUGGCCGGGUUGGGGACCCUCCCCUGCCUCCAUGCGGCUGGGGCGCAGACGCUGGGCUCGCAUUGCUGGGGCGACACCACCAGCGACCCACCCUGGACCACUAUGGGUGCUUUCCAUCUUUGUUGUCGAGUGAUGGUUAAUUUGCAUAUUUCUCUUUUAUUAGAUGGGAUGAACAUAAAAAGAAUCAACAGGCAAAUCAGGGUUAUCACCACUAUGAAAAAGACAAAGAAAGGCAGGUAGAAAAACUAACUCCAAAGGAAUCAAGUAUAAUUCCUGAGAUAAAAGAACAUUUCUAAAAAGCACUCCAAUUUAUAAUUCUCCAGUAUUAAAAAUAUAUUACAUCAGGGUACUUUGAAAAAGGAACAACCAUAGAAUGAAAUAGAGUUCUGAAACACUUAUAAAACAUCAUUACUUAAGUAAAACCAAAGAAAUCUAGAACAUAGCAUACAUAAACAUAAAAGAAAAUAUGAGAAAAGAUUCAUGGAGAGCCAAUUCAGCAGACUUCACAUUCAACUAGUGGAAGAGUUUAAAAAAGAAAAAUUGAGAAAAAUAUUUUUAAUUAUAUGUUUAAUUAUAGGAGGCCUUUUUAGGAUAUAGAAGAAAAGUUUUCAAGUUUAGUAGACUAUAGGGUACCAGAAAAUAGAUUUAAAAAGACUCAUACUCAUUAUGCUAAGUGAUUUCACUCAUAUGUGGAAUCUAAUGAACAAAAUUAAUGAAUAAGCAAAAUCCAGAAAGGUUGACAGCUGUCAGGGGUGUUUUGUCAGGAGUUCUAUUACUAUGGGAGAUGAAGAGAUAUUU